This 264-nucleotide ribosomal RNA is filed under the name uncultured bacterium. RNAcentral describes it as "partial 16S ribosomal RNA". It matches the Rfam family "Bacterial small subunit ribosomal RNA", at positions 91 to 354 of the family's 1533-position model. The record is from RNAcentral.
CGGACCGGCGCACGGGUGAGUAACGCGUAUGCAACCUACCUAUCAGAGGGGAAUAACCCGGCGAAAGUCGGACUAAUACCGCAUAAAACAGGGGUUCCACAUGGAAAUAUUUGUUAAAGAAUUAUCGCUGAUAGAUGGGCAUGCGUUCCAUUAGAUAGUUGGUGAGGUAACGGCUCACCAAGUCCACGAUGGAUAGGGGUUCUGAGAGGAAGGUCCCCCACACUGGUACUGAGACACGGACCAGACUCCUACGGGAGGCAGCAG